AGUGAACGCUGGCGGUAGGCCUAACACAUGCAAGUCGAACGGCAGCACAGUAAGAGCUUGCUCUUACGGGUGGCGGGUGGCGGACGGGUGAGGAAUACAUCGGAAUCUACUUUUUCGUGGGGGAUAACGUAGGGAAACUUACGCUAAUACCGCAUACGACCUACGGGUGAAAGCAGGGGAUCUUCGGACCUUGCGCGAUUGAAUGAGCCGAUGUCGGAUUAGCUAGUUGGCGGGGUAAAGGCCCACCAAGGCGACGAUCCGUAGCUGGUCUGAGAGGAUGAUCAGCCACACUGGAACUGAGACACGGUCCAGACUCCUACGGGAGGCAGCAGUGGGGAAUAUUGGACAAUGGGCGCAAGCCUGAUCCAGCCAUACCGCGUGGGUGAAGAAGGCCUUCGGGUUGUAAAGCCCUUUUGUUGGGAAAGAAAAGCAGCAGGUUAAUACCCCGCUGUUCUGACGGUACCCAAAGAAUAAGCACCGACUAACUUCGUG
Molecule: ribosomal RNA, 492 nt
Filed under: uncultured bacterium
Lineage: Bacteria
Description: partial 16S ribosomal RNA
Rfam family: Bacterial small subunit ribosomal RNA
Source: RNAcentral